Molecule: ribosomal RNA, 497 nt
Filed under: uncultured bacterium
Lineage: Bacteria
Description: partial 16S ribosomal RNA
Rfam family: Bacterial small subunit ribosomal RNA
Source: RNAcentral
GACGAACGCUGGCGGCGUGCCUAAUACAUGCGAGUUGAGCGCUGAAGGUUGGUACUUGUACCAACUGGAUGAGCAGCGAACGGGUGAGUAACGCGUGGGGAAUCUGCCUUUGAGCGGGGGACAACAUUUGGAAACGAAUGCUAAUACCGCAUAAAAACUUUAAACACAAGUUUUAAGUUUGAAAGAUGCAAUUGCAUCACUCAAAGAUGAUCCCGCGUUGUAUUAGCUAGUUGGUGAGGUAAAGGCUCACCAAGGCGAUGAUACAUAGCCGACCUGAGAGGGUGAUCGGCCACAUUGGGACUGAGACACGGCCCAAACUCCUACGGGAGGCAGCAGUAGGGAAUCUUCGGCAAUUGACGAAAGUCUGACCGAGCAACGCCGCGGGAGGGAAGAAGGUUUUCGGAUCGUAAAACUCUGUUGGUAGGGAAGAACGGUGGUGAGAGUGGAAAGCUCAUCAAGUGACGGUAACUACGCAGAAAGGGACGGCUAACUACGUG